UACAGGGGGGGCAAGCGUUGUUCGGAAUCACUGGGCUUAAAGGGCGCGUAGGCGGGCGGUCAAGUCAGAGGUGAAAUCCCACGGCUCAACCGUGGAAGUGCCCCUGAUACUGAUCGCCUCGAGGGAGGUAGGGGCGUGCGGAACUUCCGGUGGAGCGGUGAAAUGCGUAGAUAUCGGAAGGAACACCGAUGGCGAAAGCAGCGCGCUGGACCUUUACUGACGCUGAGGCGCGAAAGCCAGGGGAGCAAACGGG
RNAcentral lists this ribosomal RNA (253 nucleotides) under uncultured bacterium. Its description in RNAcentral is "partial 16S ribosomal RNA". It matches the Rfam family "Bacterial small subunit ribosomal RNA", at positions 524 to 776 of the family's 1533-position model. The record is from RNAcentral.